Long non-coding RNA from Cyprinus carpio (common carp), 1392 nucleotides. The record is from Ensembl. NCBI's taxonomy places the organism in Eukaryota, Metazoa, Chordata, Actinopteri, Cypriniformes, Cyprinidae.
GUUAAACUAGAUUUAUGAAGGAUUUCUCCUGUUCAUCUUCUCAGACAUCCUUAUUUGUCAUUGACCAGCUACACCCAAUUUUCACAUACCUCUUUUUCCAGCCACAUUUCUAACUUGUGCCACUAUCUGAGACAUUACUGUGACCUGAGAGAGAGAGAGAGAGGCAGGGACAGAGAGAGAGUUGGAGAAAAAUGUCAGAGAACAGUGAUGGAGUUUUCCUCUCCACUGUGAACUCAUUCUCACUUAUUCUCGUUCCCUCUUUUUCACUCCCUUGAUCUUCAUCUCUGUCUUUCAUCAUGAGCUCCUCCAGCAUGUCUUAACUCACUCUCGGUUGUACGUGUGAGUCGGUCCACCUGUGACCUGCUCCUCUUUCACAAUCCUUUCUUUUUUUAUCUCACUGUGUUCUGUUCUCCUGCUGGUUCUCACUUUUUGUGUAUCUGUUCAAGGUCCUUUCCCCCGUCACUAUUUUCUCUUCUCUUUCACUCGCUUCACUUUCCUUUUCAACCAUUCUUUCAUUCUUCUCGCUGUUUAGUAUCAUCCUCAUUUAUAUUCCAUCCCAUGCUUCUUUAAACCUUCUCUACCAUUGCUUCUCCUAUAUGAGCAGAAGAGUACAUCACAAGAAAUGUCCAUUGCGUCAUGAAAAGGCUUUUGCUUUGGCAUCAGCAGGAGUCCUUAUGGAGAUAACAGCAGUGAAUGCACUAUUUACCGGAUCUUAAUGACACCUGGAACAAAGGAAUACCAGUAAAACAAACAAACUAAAUAUAUUACACCUAAACUCCUCUAGACAAUUUUUCUUUUUGAUGGUACGAUGGAACGGCUUCAACUCCAGGUGAACUAAUCUUGAUUUAACAAUAUACUGUGGAUCACGUUCUCCACUGGGAGGCUGUUCUUGUGGCAAGAGCACAUGGAGAGUAACGUAGUAAUUCUUUGAUUCACAGACUCAGUUUCUUUUUAACGAGCUGGAAUGCCUUUCUUUUGCCAAGAAUGAGAAGUUGAAUGAUGCUCAGUGAGCCAUGCCCUUCAAUACCUGCACACUCUCAUAGAUGAGCACAGGUUUGCUUAGGAAUCGAAGAGGAAUGCUCAUACUUAGAAUUCUGCAGAUGCAACAAUUUCGCCUUUGGAUUCCAAUUUUUCUGCUUAUUAUCUUCAAGUUCUAAAGGAAAUGGAGUCCCUUAGGAGAUGGAGAUGAGACCCAUGUGAGGCUGUUGGGUUGGUCACAAGGACCUGUCAAUUGGUUUGGUGUAAAAAUUUCAAGGGCACUUGGAAGUUGAAGAAAAACAAGACUUGUGACUGUUUGAGAAUGUCUAACUUUAGAGCAACAUUAAGACAUUGAGUGACUUUUGGAAAUCACAAACAGAACAACCCAAUUUGGGUACAAAGCAUCAAAAAAUA